GAUGAACGCUGGCGGCGUGCCUAAUACAUGCAAGUCGAGCGAACGGACGAGAAGCUUGCUUCUCUGAUGUUAGCGGCGGACGGGUGAGUAACACGUGGAUAACCUACCUAUAAGACUGGGAUAACUUCGGGAAACCGGAGCUAAUACCGGAUAAUAUUUUGAACCGCAUGGUUCAAAAGUGAAAGACGGUCUUGCUGUCACUUAUAGAUGGAUCCGCGCUGCAUUAGCUAGUUGGUAAGGUAACGGCUUACCAAGGCAACGAUGCAUAGCCGACCUGAGAGGGUGAUCGGCCACACUGGAGCUGAGACACGGUCCAGACUCCUACGGGAGGCAGCAGUAGGGAAUCUUACGCAGUGGGCGAAAGCCUGACGGAGCAACGCCGCGUGAGUGAUGAAGAUCUUCGGAUCGUAAAACUCUGUUAUUAGGGAAGAACAGAUGUGGAAGUAACUGUGCACAUCUUGACAGUACCUAAUCAGAAAGCCACGGCUAACUACGUG
This 497-nucleotide ribosomal RNA is filed under the name uncultured bacterium. RNAcentral describes it as "partial 16S ribosomal RNA". It matches the Rfam family "Bacterial small subunit ribosomal RNA", at positions 28 to 507 of the family's 1533-position model. The record is from RNAcentral.